Molecule: ribosomal RNA, 253 nt
Filed under: uncultured bacterium
Lineage: Bacteria
Description: partial 16S ribosomal RNA
Rfam family: Archaeal small subunit ribosomal RNA
Source: RNAcentral
UACCAGCACCCCGAGUUGUCGGGACGAUUAUUGGGCCUAAAGCAUCCGUAGCCUGUUCUACAAGUCCUCCGUUAAAUCCACCUGCUCAACAGCUGGGCUGCGGGGGAUACUAUAGGGCUAGGAGGCGGGAGAGGCAAACGGUACUCAGUGGGUAGGGGUAAAAUCCAUUGAUCUACUGAAGACCACCAGUGGCGAAGGCGGUUUGCCAGAACGCGCUCGACGGUGAGGGAUGAAAGCUGGGGGAGCAGACCGG